Molecule: long non-coding RNA, 702 nt
Organism: Dromiciops gliroides (monito del monte)
Lineage: Eukaryota; Metazoa; Chordata; Mammalia; Microbiotheria; Microbiotheriidae
Exons: 3
Source: RefSeq, a predicted model, not a curated record
GCACUCCAGUGAGCUUAGAGAAUGAGAGAGUAGUGGAGCUCAGCAGCUAUGCCAGCCCAUUUGGGCCUUGGUGUGACAAAAGUGGAGUGGAUUAAGAGUGACUAUGAAUCUGCCUGAGGGAUUGAACAGCUGUGUGCUAUGAGGAAAAGCUUUAAGAAGGAAGAAGAGCAUAUGGGGAUUGGAGGAGGAGAAUGGAAGGCCUAGAGAUGGAGUGGGUCAAUCAGUAACUGAUAUGACCCUUGCUCAGCUUUGACAGGAGCAUCUUGGCUGAGAUGUUCAAACUACUUCUAUACCACUUCAUGAAACAUCUCCAAGAGGAAGGAGCUGGUAAAUAAAGUUGGAUGUUCCUGGAACGAGUACCUUUAUUUGAGAGAGGAAGAUUCGGAAUCCAUGCUACAUGCAUAUUCUGAGAAAAGAUACACAAAAAUCUGGAAAACAGAAUAGAAUGCAUAAAUAUUUGUGGUUGGAUGGAUUUUAUCUCUUCAUAUUUUCAAAUGAAUAGGAAGUUAUAGACUUGUAUGACAUGGAAGUUAUUUCUGUUCCAAAUACUCUCUAAACCUAGAGGGUCUCUGUGGUUUCAAGAUCAUCCAUCCUUUCAAUUUCAUUUCAUGACUUUAAAUUCCCAAAUUGCAUUCAAGGGGUCUGUAUUCUCUAUUAAAAUUCCCUGUUGGCUGAAAUAUAGCAGAAUUUUGUCUACUUCUA